Homo sapiens (human) is the source of this 1852-nucleotide long non-coding RNA. The record is from Ensembl. Lineage: Eukaryota; Metazoa; Chordata; Mammalia; Primates; Hominidae.
AGUGUGCGUGCUGAGGCUGGAGAGAAGGAUAAGAGGUGGUCCUGCCCUCGGGGCUUGCAGUCGGCUGGGAUGAUAAGUCCUGCAGAAAUUUAGUGGCCGAGCUGCCACUAGAGCUCAGGUCUCUCUCUGGACUCCCAGACCAGGGCUUAUCCUGUUAUAUUGUGGCCUCUUCUAUUCUAUCGCCACAGUCACACGGGGGCUGGAGUGCAGUGGCGUGAUUGCUGCUAACUGCGGCCUCCACCUCUUGGGCUCAAAUGAUCCUCCCACUCCAGCCUCCCCAAGUAGCUGGGACAACAGGAUGGUUGACAGGCUAUUUGGAACAAUCUUCCUACUGAAAGAAACUAAAAAAUAUGAGUAAGACGUGUCUUGAUGAAAGCAUUAAAGAAAUAUUAAGACACCAAGAAACCACCACAUCAAAAAUGAAGGGAACAUUCGUUCAGAGAACCCUCAGGUUGAGGCCCUUCCUGGCAAAGCUGCCCUAGGCCCAGAUGUCACAUAUGCAUGACAACGUCCGGGGACCAUUUGCCCCAGCAGAUUCCCUUUCAUUUCUGAUUGGCCGGCAAGUGGCUGAGGAUCGUCUUACUCGCACCCUGGUGCUGGGCGCUGACCACCUCCCGAAGCACUUGGCCAGGGGGAGAGGAUGCUGGACACAAUCAGGUUCUCCUGGGGGGAGGAGGGAGGGAAUGGCUGCUGGAAGGGUUCUACCGGGGACUCCUACAGCAGCUUGUUAGAUCUCCUUCCUCCCAAUUCCCUGAAGUUGGUGGAACAGGAAGAGGACGAGAAGUCAUGUUUGUAUGUUGUCCCCUUGGAAUCUCUCAAAAAUCCGCAAUAUCCCGAUUUGAGAAAUGAGCAUCACAGAGAAAGCAAAGCGGUAGUUGGAAGCUGCCAAGCUUGUGAGCAACGAGACGGAAUCCACGCCCAGGGCUUUCUAACGGCGGGGCCACGCCCUCCACACUCCACCUCGGCCCUCUGCCCUGCGAUGGUGCAGAGACAGGGUGUGGUCAAGGGGCCUAGGGUGAGGGUCCUGCCAGUACUUUACAGGAAACUCCCCCUCUUUUAGCCUCAUUUGUCAAAGAAAGGGCUUAGACACUAAAAUCUUUUAAGUUUCCUUCUAGCUCAAUCUCUCUUUGAUUUAAUACCUUCUAAAAGAGAUUUGGGGCCCCAGAAAAAAAGAAAGCAAGAAAGCAACUGGCACUUCUGUGGUUGACUCAGCACAGAGGCCUGGACAGGCAUCAGGAGGCUGGGCUCCUCCUAUUUUGGGCCUCGUGAGUUCAUCCUGAGGCCUGUGCCAGUCCCUGCGGUUUCUCAUCUCUCCAUCCUGGUCUGUAUGACAAAAUGGCUAAAAAUACCGGGCUCCCCGCGGGCCCGCCACCCGGCUAACACCCUCCCUUGAAUCAGCUCAUUUUUUAGUCUUGGGUAUGCUGCAGAUGAGAGUCCAGGACAAGCCACCUUCGGAAGCUCUGACUCCCAGGAACCCCGCUUGGGUUGGUCCUUGUGCUCUGGUGGAAGAAGCUUGGGCGCUGUCCACUUCCUAGGCAGACUAUUCCCAUCAUAGACACAGUGACCCUUUUAAAGCUCAGACUCUGCAAUAACGGCUGCCCAUCUCACUCACAGAGAAGGAACAGGACCAGGAGGGCCUAGUGAUGGAAGGACCAACACAUGGUUGGAUGACAGACCCUGAAGGGCCCUUGUGGAGGGGCUCCAUGGGAGUUGGCUGUGAAACCACCCAGGCUGAGGCUCCCCUGUGGGCUUGAGUCAUGCCCGGCCAAAGCUUGCAAAGUGGAGGCUGUGUCGCAUUUUCUGUUUUCCCCAUGCCUGACAUCCAGUGGGCACUAAUAAAUGUUUAACGAGU